GCAUAAUGAGCCUACGAGUUACACCUCUCUGGCAAGGUUAAUGUCCGCAGGACAAGAGCCGCAGCGAAAGCAAGUCCGAACAGGGCGUUUAGUCAGUGGGGGUAGACGCGAAACCUUAGUGAUCUACCCAUGGGCAGGAUGAAGUUCCGGUAACACGGAAUGGAGGUCCGAACUUAUUAGCGUUGAAAAGCUACAGGAUGACCUGUGGGUAGGGGUGAAAGGCCAAUCAAACUGGGAGAUAGCUCGUACUCCCCGAAAUGUUUUUAGGAACAGCCUCGGUUAAAACGUGUCAUAGAGGUAGAGCUACCGAUUGGGCUAGGGGACUUCACCGUCUACCAAACCCUGACGAACUCCGAAUGCUAUGACAUAAAGCCGGGAGUGAGGCUUUGGGCGCUAAGGUCCAGGGCCGAGAGGGAAACAACCCAGACCAUCAGCUAAGGUCCCUAAAUCCAUGCUAAGUUGAUCAAACGAUGUUUUACUGCUAUGACAGCUAGGAUGUUUGCUUGGAAGCAGCAAUUCAUUUAAAGAGUGCG
RNAcentral lists this ribosomal RNA (533 nucleotides) under uncultured bacterium. RNAcentral describes it as "bacterial LSU rRNA". It matches the Rfam family "Bacterial large subunit ribosomal RNA", at positions 610 to 1134 of the family's 2925-position model. The record is from RNAcentral.